CCUGACGCAGCGACGCCGCGUGAGGGAUGACGGCCUUCGGGUUGUAAACCUCUUUCAGCAGGGACGAAGCGCAAGUGACGGUACCUGCAGAAGAAGCACCGGCCAACUACGUGCCAGCAGCCGCGGUAAUACGUAGGGUGCGAGCGUUGUCCGGAAUUAUUGGGCGUAAAGGGCUCGUAGGCGGUUUGUCACGUCGGGAGUGAAAACUCAGGGCUCAACCCUGAGCCUGCUUCCGAUACGGGCAGACUAGAGGUAUGCAGGGGAGAACGGAAUUCCUGGUGUAGCGGUGAAAUGCGCAGAUAUCAGGAGGAACACCGGUGGCGAAGGCGGUUCUCUGGGCAUUACCUGACGCUGAGGAGCGAAAGUGUGGGGAGCGAACAGGAUUAGAUACCCUGGUAGUCCACACCGUAAACGUUGGGCGCUAGGUGUGGGACUCAUUCCACGAGUUCCGUGCCGCAGCUAACGCAUUAAGCGCCCCGCCUGGGGAGUACGGCCGCAAGGCUAAAACUCAAAUGAAUUGACGG
This 524-nucleotide ribosomal RNA is filed under the name uncultured bacterium. RNAcentral's name for it is "bacterial SSU rRNA". It matches the Rfam family "Bacterial small subunit ribosomal RNA", at positions 382 to 916 of the family's 1533-position model. The record is from RNAcentral.